AGCAGCCGCGGUAAUUCCAGCUCCAAUAGCGUAUAUUAAAGUUGUUGCAGUUAAAAAGCUCGUAGUUGAAUUUCGGGAUCAGUACGCUGGUCGUGCCUUCGGUAUGUACUGGUGUUACUGGUUCCUACCUUCUGACGAACCGUCAUGUCAUUAAUUUGGUGUGGCGGGAAAUCAGGACUGUUACUUUGAAAAAAUUAGAGUGUUUAAAGCAGGCUCGCGCUUGAAUACAUUAGCAUGGAAUAAUGAAAUAGGACGUUCGAUCCUAUUUUGUUGGUUUCUAGGAUUGACGUAAUGAUUAAUAGGGAUAGUUGGGGGCAUUAGUAUUCAAUUGUCAGAGGUGAAAUUCUUGGAUCUAUUGAAGACUAACUACUGCGAAAGCAUUUGCCAAGGAUGUUUUCAUUAAUCAAGAACGAAAGUUAGGGGAUCGAAGACGAUCAGAUACCGUCGUAGUCUUAACCAUAAACUAUGCCGACUAGGGAUCGGAUGAUGUUAUUUUUAAUGACUCAUUCGGCGCCUUACG
Molecule: ribosomal RNA, 520 nt
Filed under: uncultured Glomus
Lineage: Eukaryota; Fungi; Glomeromycota; Glomeromycetes; Glomerales; Glomeraceae
Description: SSU rRNA
Rfam family: Eukaryotic small subunit ribosomal RNA
Source: RNAcentral